AAACCAACAGGGAUUGCCCUAGUAACGGCGAGUGAAGCGGCAACAGCUCAAAUUUGAAAUCUGGCCCUCGUGGUCCGAGUUGUAAUUUGUAGAGGAUGCUUUUGGCGAGGUGCCUUCUGAGUUCCCUGGAACGGGACGCCAGAGAGGGUGAGAGCCCCGUACGGUUGGACACCGAGCCUCUAUAUAGCUCCUUCGACGAGUCGAGUAGUUUGGGAAUGCUGCUCUAAAUGGGAGGUAAAUUUCUUCUAAAGCUAAAUACCGGCCAGAGACCGAUAGCGCACAAGUAGAGUGAUCGAAAGAUGAAAAGCACUUUGAAAAGAGGGUUAAAUAGCACGUGAAAUUGUUGAAAGGGAAGCGUUUGCGACCAGACUUUUUCCAGGCGGAUCAUCCGGCAUUUUUGCCGGUGCACUUCGCCUGGUCUAGGCCAGCAUCGGUUUCCUUAGGGGGAUAAAGGCUUGGGGAAUGUAGCUCCCUCGGGAGUGUUAUAGCCCCUUGCGUAAUACCCCUCGGGGGACCGAGGAUCGCGCUUUUGCAAGGAUGCUGGCGUAAUGGUCGUCAACGAC
This 563-nucleotide ribosomal RNA is filed under the name Xylariaceae sp. BCC 20940. Its description in RNAcentral is "eukaryotic LSU rRNA". It matches the Rfam family "Eukaryotic large subunit ribosomal RNA", at positions 62 to 648 of the family's 3401-position model. RNAcentral also lists the same sequence under 4 other names. The record is from RNAcentral. Lineage: Eukaryota; Fungi; Ascomycota; Sordariomycetes; Xylariales; Xylariaceae.